UUCCUGUGGGUUUAGCAGCUCUCUUAAUAACUGUUGUGAUGAUCAUCAGAUGGAAGAAAACUAAAGGUGAAAACAUUCACAGAUUAAAGUUUAUGAUAAGUUGACUCAUAAGUAAACUCAUCUUUUUUCCUCUUUUCAGAAAAAAAAACACAAUGUGGCAACAACACGGGACUGAGCUUAAACCCUGCAGACACUGAAUCUGGUCCAGGAACCAAUCAGGACACGAUGUGGACUGAUGCUGAUGAUGGUGUGUCAUAUGCCUCCAUCAGCUUCACCAAGAAGAUCAAGAAUAAAGCCCGGGCUGGUGAUGAUGAUGAUGAUGACACUGUGACUUACAGCACAGUGACAGCUGCCUCACCUGCUGGUGUUCCCAAUGAUCCCA
Molecule: long non-coding RNA, 382 nt
Organism: Oreochromis niloticus (Nile tilapia)
Lineage: Eukaryota; Metazoa; Chordata; Actinopteri; Cichliformes; Cichlidae
Exons: 3
Source: RefSeq, a predicted model, not a curated record